RNAcentral lists this ribosomal RNA (686 nucleotides) under Phragmidium zangdongii. Its description in RNAcentral is "eukaryotic LSU rRNA". It matches the Rfam family "Eukaryotic large subunit ribosomal RNA", at positions 1 to 653 of the family's 3401-position model. The record is from RNAcentral. Lineage: Eukaryota; Fungi; Basidiomycota; Pucciniomycetes; Pucciniales; Phragmidiaceae.
UUUUUAAGACCCUUCCAUCAGGUGGGACUACCCGCUGAACUUAAGCAUAUCAAUAAGCGGAGGAAAAGAAACUAACAAGGAUUCCCCCAGUAACGGCGAGUGAAGAGGGAAAAGCCCAAAUUUGUAAUCUGGCUCUUUCACGAGGGUCCGAGUUGUAAUUUUGAGAACUGUUUUCUGUGCUGGACCAUUUCUAAGUCUGUUGGAAAACAGCAUCAUAGAGGGUGAUAAUCCCGUUUGUGAUAUGGACUACCAGGGCUAUAUGAUACAGUUUCUAAGAGUCGAGUUGUUUGGGAAUGCAGCUCAAAGUGGGUGGUAAAUUCCAUCUAAGGCUAAAUAUAGGUGAGAGACCGAUAGCAUACAAGUACCGUGAGGGAAAGAUGAAAAGAACUUUGGAAAGAGAGUUAACAGUACGUGAAAUUGUUGUAAAGGAAACAUUUAAACUUGUCGUUGUGCUUGUCAGUUCAGCCCUCUUAUCAGGGUGUAUUCUGGCAAAUCACGGACCAACAUCAGUUUUUGAGUGCUGGAUAAGGGUCUUGGGAAUGUAGCAGUUUUGGCUGUGUUAUAGCCCAGGAUUUAGAUACAGUGCUUAGGACUGAGAACAAUUUGCAGCAAGCCCUUUAUUGUGGCAGCCUAUCAUGGGCACCCAUGCUGAGGAUGUUGGUGAGAUACUUUAAAAUUGACCCAAA